UACGAAGGGGGCUAGCGUUGCUCGGAAUUACUGGGCGUAAAGGGUGCGUAGGCGGGUCUUUAAGUCAGAGGUGAAAUCCUGGAGCUCAACUCCAGAACUGCCUUUGAUACUGAGGAUCUUGAGUUCGGGAGAGGUGAGUGGAACUGCGAGUGUAGAGGUGAAAUUCGUAGAUAUUAGGAAGAACACCAGUGGCGAAGGCGGCUCACUGGCCCGGUACUGACGCUGAGGCGCGAAAGCGUGGGGAGCAAACAGG
RNAcentral lists this ribosomal RNA (253 nucleotides) under uncultured bacterium. RNAcentral describes it as "partial 16S ribosomal RNA". It matches the Rfam family "Bacterial small subunit ribosomal RNA", at positions 524 to 776 of the family's 1533-position model. The record is from RNAcentral.